CGGAUGGGUUUUCACCUGUAGUCUCUACCCAUUUCCCACCUUUACCCUGCAGAUAGACCUAGCUGCGUGUUAAGGCUCUCCUGAGCCACUGCCCUGACGACGUGGUGAGUGAGUUGCUAGGCUACGGGCCGGCAGCGUCGCGGGUUGCCUAGCAACGGAUCUGCAGUGACGCGCCGAGGGCGUCACCAUACGUCAUCUUCCUGCACCGCCCGGCGCCGGGGACGGAGGCGCGGGAGCUGUUCUGCAUGGUGUUUGGCGGGCUACUGUCUUCAAAUGGGACAGUCUCGUUUUUCUAGGACUGUCCCACUGUCACACGCAUGGGCCGCAAUGUCACGCGAGUUGGGGGAUAAUUGGGAGACACUUGGAUACUGCUGCAGAGCAACAGAGAAUGGAUGACGGGCACAUGCAACUGUCUCCACAUACAGUGCCGACUAGGAGAGAGACUACAGAAGUUGUGAGGUAUGUGAUGAUGAUGAUGAUGAUGAUGAUGAUGAUGAUGAUGAUGACGACAACAUUAACACAGUAGCCCACAGCCCUUACACUACAGCCCACAGCCCUUCGAUGAUGAUGAUGAUGAUGAUGAUGAUGAUGAU
This is a long non-coding RNA of Pseudophryne corroboree (corroboree frog), 593 nucleotides long. RefSeq lists it as uncharacterized. The record is from RefSeq and is a predicted model, not a curated record. Lineage: Eukaryota; Metazoa; Chordata; Amphibia; Anura; Myobatrachidae. The transcript is spliced from 4 exons.